UGAGGAAUAUUGGUCAAUGGACGAGAGUCUGAACCAGCCAAGUAGCGUGAAGGAUGACUGCCCUAUGGGUUGUAAACUUCUUUUAUAUGGGAAUAAAGUUUUCCACGUGUGGAAUUUUGUAUGUACCAUAUGAAUAAGGAUCGGCUAACUCCGUGCCAGCAGCCGCGGUAAUACGGAGGAUCCGAGCGUUAUCCGGAUUUAUUGGGUUUAAAGGGAGCGUAGGUGGACAGUUAAGUCAGUUGUGAAAGUUUGCGGCUCAACCGUAAAAUUGCAGUUGAUACUGGCUGUCUUGAGUACAGUAGAGGUGGGCGGAAUUCGUGGUGUAGCGGUGAAAUGCUUAGAUAUCACGAAGAACUCCGAUUGCGAAGGCAGCUCACUGGACUGCAACUGACACUGAGGCUCGAAAGUGUGGGUAUCAAACAGG
RNAcentral lists this ribosomal RNA (424 nucleotides) under uncultured bacterium. RNAcentral's name for it is "bacterial SSU rRNA". It matches the Rfam family "Bacterial small subunit ribosomal RNA", at positions 355 to 776 of the family's 1533-position model. The record is from RNAcentral.